UGGGGAAUUUUGCGCAAUGGGCUAACGCCUGACGCAGCAACGCCGCGUGGAGGAUGAAGGUCUUUGGAUUGUAAACUCCUGUCAGCGGGGAAAAAGCGACCGCACCUAACACGUGCGGGAGUUGAUUGUACCCGCAGAGGAAGCCCCGGCUAACUCUGUGCCAGCAGCCGCGGUAAUACAGAGGGGGCAAGCGUUAUUCGGAAUUAUUGGGCGUAAAGGGCGCGUAGGCGGCUUGGCAAGUGGAAGGUGAAAUCCCUCGGCUUAACCGAGGAACUGCCCUCCAAACUGCUUUGCUUGAGGCCGGGAGAGGUAAGUGGAAUUCCCAGUGUAGCGGUGAAAUGCGUAGAUAUUGGGAGGAACACCAGUGGCGAAGGCGGCUUACUGGACCGGUUCUGACGCUGAGGCGCGAAAGCGUGGGGAGCAAACGG
RNAcentral lists this ribosomal RNA (428 nucleotides) under uncultured bacterium. Its description in RNAcentral is "bacterial SSU rRNA". It matches the Rfam family "Bacterial small subunit ribosomal RNA", at positions 355 to 775 of the family's 1533-position model. The record is from RNAcentral.